AAAUGAAUUGACGGGGGCCCGCACAAGCAGCGGAGCAUGUGGUUUAAUUCGAAGCAACGCGAAGAACCUUACCUAGACUUGACAUCCCCUGCAUAACCCAGAGAUGGGCGAAGUCCUUCGGGACAGGGUGACAGGUGGUGCAUGGUUGUCGUCAGCUCGUGUCGUGAGAUGUUGGGUUAAGUCCCGCAACGAGCGCAACCCUUAUCAUUAGUUGCUACCAUUAAGUUGAGCACUCUAGUGAGACUGCCCGGGUUAACCGGGAGGAAGGUGGGGAUGACGUCAAAUCAUCAUGCCCCUUAUGUCUAGGGCUACACACGUGCUACAAUGGUGAGUACAAAGAGAUGCAAGACCGCAAGGUGGAGCCAAACUCAAAAACUCAUCCCAGUUCGGAUUGUAGGCUGCAACUCGCCUACAUGAAGCCGGAGUUGCUAGUAAUCGCGAAUCAGCAUGUCGCGGUGAAUACGUUCCCGGGCCUUGUACACACCGCCCGU
This 491-nucleotide ribosomal RNA is filed under the name uncultured bacterium. RNAcentral describes it as "bacterial SSU rRNA". It matches the Rfam family "Bacterial small subunit ribosomal RNA", at positions 903 to 1397 of the family's 1533-position model. The record is from RNAcentral.